Molecule: long non-coding RNA, 2316 nt
Organism: Pongo pygmaeus (Bornean orangutan)
Lineage: Eukaryota; Metazoa; Chordata; Mammalia; Primates; Hominidae
Exons: 7
Source: RefSeq, a predicted model, not a curated record
UCAGAAAAAAAAAAUGCGUUAUGCGCCGGGCUCAAACCGGAAUAAGACUGGGCAGAGCUAUGCAGUCAGCCACCGCUCCCCCACCCCCAUCCCACCCCGCCUCGCGCCCGCUCCACUACGUACUCCCGGGUGCCUGGCAACAGUGAUGUGCUUUAGGCCUUUUAGAAUGCGUACAUACGGAACCAUAUCUAAGUGCUGUCUGGCUUUUUAAACUUAGCACAAUGCUUUGAGAUUCAUACUAUUGUGUUUAAUUAGUAAUUCCUUUGUGUUAUUGCUGAAUGGUAGUCUAUCAUAUGGGUAUGCCACAGUUUAUUCAUUCACCAGUUGAUGGGCCUGUCGGUUGUAAGGAACAGGAGAAAACUUCCCCUUUGCUCUCUGAAGGGUCACCGAAAAUCAACUGACAAGGCUGGGCGUGGGCUCCUGCCUGUAACCCCAGCCCUUUUUUAGGCCAAGGCAGGAGGAUCUCUUCUUUGUGAAGUGUGUAUUCAAAUCUUUUGACCAUUUAUUUAUUAGCUAGCUUGACUUUUUAUCUAAGAGUUCUUUAUAUAUUAUAUUUGAGUUCUUUAUGUGUUUCAUACCAUGUUCUUUAUUAGCUAUACGUUUUGAAAUGUUUUCUACCUGUCUGUGGCUUGCCUCUUCAUUUUAAGUGUCUUUUGAAGCACUGAAGUUUUAAAUUUGGAUGUAAUUUAUCCAUUUUUUCUUUUACAUAGUUCAUACCUUUUUUGUCCUACUUAAGACAUUUUUGCUAAAUUCAAGAUUAUAAGAUUUCCUCAUUUGUUACCUUCUGGAAGUUUUAUAAUUGUUGGUCUUCAUUAUAUUUAAAAUGAAUUAUUAUUUAUAGUAUUGAUCGAUGCUGGAGGCAGAUAAGGGAGGGUCCCUGGAGAAUCUCUGACCUUCCCCACAAGCUUUUGUGCAGCUGAGGAAACCUGCCCAGGGUCUUGUCUGGGCAUGCCCACAAGGGACUUGGGGGCCCACCUGCACCGGGAGAGUGGGGUACAGCCAGAGGGAAUUUAGCCUUAUGCAGCCGGGAGGAGCAAGACGUCUUCAGCUUGUGUGUGUUGGCCUGUUAUUCAGUCUGUGAGCUGGGAGCCUGUUGGCAGGACCCUCCUUGUUUUUUUGCUGAGAGCUUUCUUCUAAUAAAUGCCACUCUUCACCUUUCAAUGUAUUCACAUGCCUAAUUGUUCCUGGUCAUGAGACAAGAACCUGGAUUUUGGCUGAGCUAAGGAGCAAAAAUUCCUGCAUCCGUAUGAGGUGUAAGGAAGAACAGAAGGAUCCAAGUGUGAGAAAGCCCACCCUGAGUCGCUCAGAGGUAUGGAGAUCCCAUUUGGAAUUAAGUCAACAUCAUUUUGGUCCCAGUGUAUCUGUAACCAAAAUGUAUCAGGUACCAAAUAUCAAAUUGUUCUAUAGAUUCAUUUCACUGCCAGGUCAAAGACACAAUCAAAAGCCCGACAAAUGGAAUUUGUGGAAUUGGAACAAAAAGGCACAAGAACAUCAAAGCAUAAAUCCUUCAAGUAUCAGCAAUGACAUCACUUAAGAAUUUCUCAGAAUCUUAGGCACCACCCCAGGCCUACUGGAUCAGAAUCUGAAUUUUUUAACAAGAUCUCAGAUCUAGUCAAGAGUCCAAUCUGAUUUCUCUUUAUUGGGACUACCACCCAAAGCAGAAUGAGGAUGAUGUAACCACGCCCAGUGACUUCUGGAUACACUGACUCUAGAUGAGCAAGGAGAGACUCAGAGGAAGUUAGUGGAAAGAGGUUACUCGAUUAGAAAGUGACUGUGGCACUACCAUAGUAGUAAAAUCUAUCAUGGCAGAGAAAAUGCCAUAUGUUCACCUUGCCAGUCGUUUUUCUUUUUCCUCCUGGGUUUAUAGGAAGAUGGCACCCCCGGCUCCCCUGCAAUUAGGCAGGGCCAUGUGACUGAGUCUUAGCUCACCAAUGUGGGAGAAAGUGAUGUGUGACACAUUAAGGCAAGGCCACUGAAACCUCUCAUGGGAACUUCCAUACUCACUUCCCUCAUCUGCUAGCCAACCCAAAAGAUUGAGUGGAGGAUUUUACAGCCCCAGGGCCUAGAGAUGCUGGAAAGAAGCCUGAGUCAGCCCUGAAUGAACCUGUGCAAAGGUGCCUCUGACCUCCAACCCUUGUUGGACUAGGAUGUUGGAAAAUAUUGUGUUAAGCUACUGAUAUUUCAAAGUUGUUUGUUAUAGCAGCUAGCCAUAUUUACUCUACCUGAUAGAUCUAUGUUCUGUAAUUACAUUGUUUGCCUCUCAUGUCAUAAGGGUAAAUAAGUGACAUAUGCAACAAUAAACUGUGAUGUACUAUA